ACAUCGAUACCGCAACGGUUAGCAUGCUUGCCUGACAUUCGUGUGACAGGCUGUUUGUGAGAUCAAGCGGCAAGGGUUCGACUUCCCUUCGGUGUA
Non-coding RNA from Mucidula mucida, 96 nucleotides. Lineage: Eukaryota; Fungi; Basidiomycota; Agaricomycetes; Agaricales; Physalacriaceae. The record is from the annotation of a GenBank genome assembly.